Molecule: long non-coding RNA, 833 nt
Filed under: Marmota monax (woodchuck)
Lineage: Eukaryota; Metazoa; Chordata; Mammalia; Rodentia; Sciuridae
Source: RNAcentral
GCGUGGUCCACAGGGUGUGCCAUUGGCAGGAGGCGGGGGGCCUUGAAAAGGAGUGUGGAACCCUGCUCUCCACUCUCUGCCCGCUUCCUGCUCAGGAUCUGAACAGUCUGCGGUGUCUUGUAUGCCCUCUGUCCCACUGCCUUCCCCAGAGGCCCAAAGCAACUUCCAGAUCUUAGACUGGCACCUCAGAACUAUAAGCCAAUCUUUUCUAAGUAAGAGCCUCAGGAAUUUUGUUUUAGUAACUGAAAGUGGACCAAUACACCAUUCUACCCUCAUUUUCUGUUUUAGCCUCCUGCCUACCUGGAAUCUUCAGUCAACACACUUGUGUUUCUCUACCGUUGCCCCCCAAGUUGCCUCUUUCUGUCCAGCUCCUGAAACUGUAGCUAUUGAAACCUCCCCUAAACCUCAUUACCACAAAGGAGUCUUUCUUGAUAACCUGCUUUCAAUUCUCAGCAGCCAGAAAGUCUUCUGAUCUUGGAAUCCCGUGGGCUGAUUACUGUGUAUCCUCCUCCCCCGGCCUUCAUGGGAAAUUGGUUCCAGGACCCCCAAGGACACCUGAUCCAAAGAUGCUUAUGUCCUUUUUGUAAAAUGUCAUGGCAUUUUCCUAGAACCUAUGUACAUUUUCUCAUGUACUUGAAAUCAUUUCUACAUUACUUACAAUAACUAAUGCAAUGGAAAUGCCACAUAGAAAUUCUUAUUCUGUAUUAUUUAGGGAAUAAUGACAAGAGAAAAUGUCUGAACAUGUUCAGUACCUAGGCAAUGGGAAAACACUGCGAUCACAGUCAAGUAAAUCUCCAGAAGCAGAAACCAUGGGUAGAGGGGGCCAAUCGUAC